RNAcentral lists this ribosomal RNA (402 nucleotides) under uncultured bacterium. RNAcentral's name for it is "bacterial SSU rRNA". It matches the Rfam family "Bacterial small subunit ribosomal RNA", at positions 355 to 773 of the family's 1533-position model. The record is from RNAcentral.
UAGGGAAUAUUGCUCAAUGGGCGAAAGCCUGAAGCAGCAACGCCGCGUGCGCGAUGAAGGUCUUCGGAUCGUAAAGCGCUUUUCUGCGAGAUGAGAAAGGACAGUAUCGUAGGAAUAAGUCUCGGCUAACUACGUGCCAGCAGCCGCGGUAACACGUAGGAGGCGAGCGUUAUCCGGAUUCACUGGGCGUAAAGCGCGUGCAGGCGGUUUGGUAAGUUGGGCGUGAAAGCUCCCGGCUCAACUGGGAGAGGUCGUUCAAUACUACCAAACUUGAGAGUAGAAGAGGAAGAUGGAAUUCCCGGUGUAGUGGUGAAAUGCGUAGAUAUCGGGAGGAACACCAGUGGCGAAGGCGAUCUUCUGGUCUAUUUCUGACGCUCAGACGCGACAGCUAGGGUAGUAAAC